AGAGUCUGUUAACAGGUACGGCCUUCUAAGCCGUGGGUCACAGGUUCGAAUCCUGUAGGGCGUACCA
RNAcentral lists this transfer RNA (67 nucleotides) under Tolumonas auensis DSM 9187. Its description in RNAcentral is "tRNA-Und (NNN) (tRNA-Und-NNN-1-1)". It matches the Rfam family "tRNA", at positions 12 to 71 of the family's 71-position model. From Rfam's summary of the family: Transfer RNA (tRNA) molecules are approximately 80 nucleotides in length. Lineage: Bacteria; Pseudomonadati; Pseudomonadota; Gammaproteobacteria; Aeromonadales; Aeromonadaceae. The record is from RNAcentral.